AGUGCAAGCGUUAUCCGGAUUUAUUAGGUAUAAAGGGUGCGUACGCGGACCUGUUACUCAGUGGUGAAAUACUACGGCUUAACCGUAGAACUGCCAUUGAUACUGCAGGUCUUGAGUACAGUACGAGGUAGGCCGAAUGUGUGGUGUAACGGUGAAAUGCUUAGAUAUCACACAGAACACCGAUUGCGAAGGCAGCUUACUAAGUUGUAACUGACGCUGAUGCACGAAAGCAUGGGGAGCAAACAGGAUUAGAUACCCUGGUAGUCCAUGCCGUAAACGAUGAUCACUCGCUGUACGUCCAUUAGGAUGUGUGGCUGAGCUAACGCAUUAAGUGAUCCACCUGGGGAGUACGGCGGCAACGCUGAAACUCAAAGGAAUUGACGGGGGCCCGCACAAGCGGAGGAACAUGUGGUUUAAUUCGAUGAUACGCGAGGAACCUUACCUGGGUUUAAAUGUAGGACGCAAGUCACGUGAAAGCGAGACCCUCUUCGGGACGGACUACAAGGUGCUGCAUGGUUGUCGUCAGCUCGUGCCGUGAGGUGUCGGGUUAAGUCCCAUAACGAGCGCAACCCUCAUCGUUAGUUACCAGCGGAUAAUGCCGGGGACUCUAACGAGACUGCCACCGUAAGGUGAGAGGAAGGUGGGGAUGACGUCAAAUCAGCACGGCCUUAUAUCCAGGGUUACACACCGUGUUACAAUGGCCAGUUCAAAGGGCAGCUACCUGGUGACAGGAUGUUAAUCUCAAAAACUGGGUUUAAUUCGGAUCUAAGAAGUUUGCAACUCGAAUAUGUGGGAAAAUUGGAUUCCUUAGUAAUCGCGCCAUCAGCUAUGCGCGCGGUGAAUACGUUCC
This 850-nucleotide ribosomal RNA is filed under the name uncultured bacterium. RNAcentral describes it as "bacterial SSU rRNA". It matches the Rfam family "Bacterial small subunit ribosomal RNA", at positions 531 to 1374 of the family's 1533-position model. The record is from RNAcentral.